RNAcentral lists this ribosomal RNA (466 nucleotides) under forest soil bacterium 2H2.F8. Its description in RNAcentral is "bacterial SSU rRNA". It matches the Rfam family "Bacterial small subunit ribosomal RNA", at positions 38 to 485 of the family's 1533-position model. The record is from RNAcentral.
GGCGGCAUGCGUAAUACAUGCAAGUCGAGCGAAUGACGAAGAAGCUUGCUUCUUCUGAUUUAGCGGCGGACGGGUGAGUAACACGUGGGCAACCUGCCCUGUAGAUUGGGAUAACUCCGGGAAACCGGGGCUAAUACCAAAUAAUCCAUUUCCUCUCAUGUGGAAAUGUUAAAAGACGGUUUCGGCUGUCACUACAGGAUGGGCCCGCGGCGCAUUAGCUAGUUGGUAGGGUAACGGCCUACCAAGGCGACGAUGCGUAGCCGACCUGAGAGGGUGAUCGGCCACACUGGGACUGAGACACGGCCCAGACUCCUACGGGAGGCAGCAGUAGGGAAUCUUCCACAAUGGACGAAAGUCUGAUGGAGCAAUGCCGCGUGAGUGAAGAAGGUUUUCGGAUCGUAAAACUCUGUUGUAAGGGAAGAACAAGUACGAGAGUAACUGCUCGUACCUUGACGGUACCUUAUUA